CCAUUUGAAAAAUUAUAUAUGGACAUUGUUGUUCUCCCAGAAUCCGAAUGGGGCAACAAAUACGCGCUGGUUAUGCAGGAUGACCUUACAAGAUUUUUGGUAGUAGCUCCAAUGGACAAUCAAGAAGCGGAGACUGUAUCCAAAACUUUUGUCGAAAAAUUCAUUUGUAAAUUCGGUACUCCGUUGGAACUGGUGACAGACCAAGGAGCAAAUUUCAUGAGCAAAUUUUUUAAACACGCAUGCAAAAUUUUGAAAAUCAAAAAAAUCAAUACAAGUGCUUAUCACCCACAAGCAAAUCUAGUAGAACGAUCAAACAGAGAAUUGAAAACAUAUUUGCGACAAUUUGUCGGAGAAAACCCGCAACAAUGGGAUCAACAUCUUGAUUAUUUUACCUUUGAAUACAAUACUACAAAUAAUAGCUCAACAAGCUACAGUCCGUUCGAACUUUUAUAUGGAAGAAAGGCAAGGAUUCCUACCUCUAUAUACACUCCAACAGAUUCAGAUAUAACAUAUAAUGACUAUUUUUGCGAAAUGAAACAAAUUCUUAAAAAUUUGCAUGAAAACGCCAAAAGAAAUUUGAUUAUUUCCAAAGAGAAACGUAAAAUUAUUUAUGACAAGAAAACCGAAGAAUGGCAACCUAUGUGGGGCGAAUUGGUUUUAGUACAAGCAAUCCCAACAGGAACAGGUCAAAAACUUCAAAGUAAAUGGAGAGGCCCAUACGCAGUAGUUGACCUACCCAGCGAACAAACCACAAUUAUUAAAAAUGGGAACAAAUUUGAAAAAGUCCACAAUAAUAGGUUAAAAAAGUAUAAUGAUUGAUUAGCUAUGCAUAGUCGUCAAUGUAUAAAUUGAUGUAUAUAUUGAAAAUCCAAUUAUUUCCUAAUUACGAAUGAUUUUUGUAAAUAUUAGUUACUAAAUAUAUUGUUAAAAAAAUACCAUAGGAAUAAUAUGUUAGGAUAGAGGCUUGCGUAGGAUAGCUAGGAAUAUUUAUUGAAUUAUUAUAUUAAAUAAACAAUUAACAUAUAUAAUUGUAGUAAGGUUCACAACAAAGCGGUUAACGAUUGGAGAACAUACGAAUUAACUUAAUUGAUAUUAUAUCGUAACAACUUAAAAGGAAUUGAAAAUAAAAUAAAAUAAAAUAAAAAAUUAUGAUAAUAGCAAUAAAUAAAAAAAAAAAUUAUGAGAAUAUGAAGAGACAUAAAGAAAUGAGGAUGAUGAAUGAAUCAGGAUAAUAAAAAUAAGGUUUCGGGAUAUUUUGUACAGCUGAAUUAUAACAAAAAUGCGUCCAUCAAUUCGGCAUGAGUUUGAAUGCAAGAACGAUUUGAAUGUACCGAAGAGCUGAAAAGGGGUAAUUUGGGAUGAGGAAACAUAACUAUGCAAAAUGAUUAUUUGAAAAGGGUAUAUAGAAAUUGGGAAUGAAGAAUUGGGCAAUUGAUAUAUUGGGAAUAAUAUGAUGGGAAAUACAAAGUAAUCUUGAAAGGGGAUCAUUGGGGUAUAUCGGGUAACAAUAGCGGGGAAUGUAUAAGAAGAAAAAUAAUAACUUUAGAGAUUCUUGAAUAAAGAAGCAGCUCUAUUUAACGUUAAUACAUAUGGGAUACAUAAUAAAUGAGGUUUGAACAAACAAACAAAAGACAUAAAUUGUUGAUUGAGAGUAUUAAUAAUAAAAAGAAACAGUGACAACAACCGAACGAUUAUUCUCUGAAAUGAUAAAGCAAAACGGAUUAAACAAAAAAAAAACAAUUUAGAAACAAUUUAGACCCUAAUGAAACUACGGAGGACGCUCCUAUAUAAAAUGGCCAUGUUACAUAACAUUUUUGAAAGUAUAUACGAGAUCGGAUGAAAAUUGAAUGAUGAGGACAAGGGAGGGCCCCCCAGAAUGCUUGUGAAUGUUGAGUGUAAAUGAUGAAUGAAUAACUAAUUCAAAAAAAUAAUAAUAAUAAUAAUAUGUGAAUGAAAAAUGAAGUAAUAUUUAUAGAUUCGGAAUCAUUAGGUGGCGUCAAGAAACAAAAACUAGAAAUUAACAUAAAUAUAUUUAUAUUUUAUCAAAUCAUGAAUUAAACACAAGAUCUAAGUCUCGUUACAGGUAUCCAUCCAAAAACCUUAUUCGGUAAGGGGGAGAAGUCGUAGCAAUAAGGCGAUCAAGCCGAGCCUGCGAAAGGAAACGGAGCAAACAGGAAUUGAAAGAAAACGCACUGGAGAGAAUUCUGCAGUGAGAUUUUUUUGGAAUUGGUAAUACAGAUGUUUAUAGUGAUCCUGCAGAAGCUUUCCAUUGCUACAACUCACAUUUUAAUAUUUUACGGUUUUUGAAAAAAAAAAACAGUUUAUGACUAUUAAGAAAAGUAACGGUAACAGAGCAUGAUUAAUGUAAUGGUGCAGUUUUUUUUAAUACUAUUGUAAAGGUUAUAUUUUGCACAUACAAGAAAAACAAAUAAUAAUUACAUGAAGACUAAAAGUUCAGUUUGCCAUGGUAGAUCAAUAUUUUAUAAAUCGAUGGUUUCGACAGAAUUAAAAAUACAACUUCCUCGAGAGAUGACGCGGGAGGACAAGACGAGAAGGCAACAUCCGGCGAGAGCAACCAGAGGAGCAGUUCAACGGUACCUCUAUGAAAACGUACCACAGUCAAAUUGGUACGAAGACGAGAAAUAACAGAUCGGAUGGAAAGUUGAAGGUCAAAGGUGCUGGUAUGGCGGAGGAGAGGAUUCAGCGAACAUAAUUUUUCACCGGAGACGAUUCAAGGUCAACUCGGGUGGCACAUCGAGACAAAUAUUAUUGUACAUCUGCGAAUCUGCUAAUAUGAACCAACACAAUGCAGAGCAUCGGGAAAAACUACAACAACAACGACAGCAACAACAAAACAACAACAACAAAAACAACAACAACAACAACAAUUCAUACAGACAUAUGAUGAGAGAAGGACGUCUUCAAAGUUUCCCAAAUUAACCGACAUAAUGUAAUGUUCACCAACCGCAUUACAUUCACCAUUGAAAAAGCACUUACUCCGUGCUUCUUACAACAACAAUUAACAGUAACCAUAACCAGGAAUGCAACAUUUCGACAUCAUCAAAAGGUUUGGAAUUUAAGCCAACUAAUUACAAACUCUUUAAAGAAUGUGCAACAGUUCCACAAUUUGCACCAGGUCAAAGACAACAAUAUUCGCAUCACUAUUGAGAUUGAUCCAAUACCAACAAAAUUCAGAAGGCGGGCGAUAAGUAAUCAACCACAACACCGUAAACGACAAUGAUAAACAAUCCAGUUCGGAAGGCAACUUAUGACACUUUUUCGAGAAACAACAGAAAGCAACAGUAAAACUAGUUCUUCUGUAUGCAAACGACAGCGCGGAAAUUACCAGCAGGGAAAUACGAUUCAACCGAGGUAAUAUCCGGAUACCAAAACUUCAUGGUCACGUCACCAUAGGAGACGACAUCAACAGAAUCAACUACAUCAUCUUCAAGACAAAUCAGUACAACAGAGAAGCAACGAUACCAUUCAUCUGAGACCUGAAACUAACCAAUUGAUCUGGACAUUUAACAAGAAGAGGUAGAAAUCAAUGGUAGACGAACAACCCCUACGACGAAUCAAGAGGAGCAGCAGCAAGUACCAAUGAAGUCAAUCUCUUGAGGAAGAAUGUAAGAAGGUUAAUACAAAAUUUAAAGUUUCUUUGGGAUAUUCAGAUCAAUCAACUGUAGUGGAAAAUAUUGUAAGACACUUACUGGGAAGAUAAAGAUUAGUUUAGCAGUUUCAGUUUAGAAAAUUAACGAUCAUCGUUAACGUCAUCAUCUAAAUGAAGUUUUGGGGGAUACAUUUUACCCACAUCCUUACAUUUGAACGUGAUUUUAUACACGUUCAAACUCCGCUAAGUGGGAGGGCAUGCAACGCCUAAAUAUUCCCACGCCUUCCGAUAUUCUAAGUCAAUUCAACUGUGAAAGAAAAAGAUGCAUUUCCCCCCCCCCACACACUCCCGUUAGAGUAGCUGCCUGGGUGUGUUUUUAUUUCAAUUUUUCACCAACAGCUACGCUCUAGGUAGGUUCUACCCACCUCACGCGCUGUAAAUUGGAAGCAACGGGAAACAUACCAUUCGUUACUGACUUUGUUUUUAUGACCCAUCAUCGCACCCGGUGAUGGCCGGGUGCGAUCGUGUUCAAACACGGGAGUCGAGCCGGUAAAUCCACAAUAUGCUUGGUGGGUCAAUGGUCGCUGGGUUUGAUUGUCGGCGACCGAUUCCAAGGCUCAAUUGUAAACCUGUAAAGGUUUUGUUUUUGAUCUAAAAUGUCGUACUGGACGUUGACUAAAACAACAUCCGUACGGUGUCCUGGUUUCGCGGGGCAGCGACCGCGCAGCGAUGCGUUUGUUUUGUUUUCCAUGAUCGUACAUGUUGGGUCCGGUUGGUUUGGUGCAGCUCUGAUUACGCUCGGUGGGCCGUCGAUAGGAAUGCCAUGGAACGGAUACCCUAUCGAUCGCGCUAGAAUGUUGCGAAAAUCAAGGCGCCGUAUUGGCCGCAUAUGGCUUUAGGUAGCCUAGAUUGUUUUGGUUUUGAAAUCGAGGCACUGUAUCUGCCGAGAAUGGUUUCAGGUAGCCGUGAUUGUUUUCACUUGGUUCGAUUUUUGAACCCAGGUGAACCAUAAAAGGAAUGUUGAAAAUCGAAAUCGUACUGGCGGCAUAGGGGCGCCGGAAUUGUUUUGUACUCGAUUUUGUUUUGACUUCGAGUAAAAGAAUGUGGGGUAUAAUUUCAACGAACAUCCGCGGCCGAGCCCGGCUAGGGGUCAUUGUGCACAAGCAAGGGUACAUUUGAAUAACAAGGCGGUUGCUUUGUUUUGAAGAAUUGGGUGCCAAGUCCGAAAGAUGAUGGCGCUAAGAAUGAUGAUGAUGAUGAUGAUAAUGAUGAUGAUAAUGAUGAUGAUAAUGACGAUGAUGUUGACGAAGAUGGCAAUGAUGGGGGUCGACUUUGGAUACGCCCAAGUCAGGCGUGGUUUUCGGUGUUAAGAUUUUCAUAGCGGUUUGCUCAAACAAAAAAAAAAACGCCCAAGUCAGGCGUGGCUAGGAGAUUUAGACUUGGGAAUAAGAUUUUCAUAGGUUCUGUUCAAACACGCCCAAGUCAGGAGGGGAUGGUAACCAUGAUGAGAACGAGUAGGAUAGAUAGAGUUCUUAACUUUUAGCUUUUUUAUUUUUGGCAUCGAUGGUUUUUGGACACGCCCAAGAUGGUUUGGGCAACGUUAGAAAUUUUCGAGACUUCUUCGGGUAUUGCUAGGAAAUUUAGGCUAUAAAUACGGAUGCUUUGGCUUCAGUCGGGGUCAGUUGUCGGGGAGUUCGGUGACAACGUUAACGCAGGCAGCACAUCGGAUAAGUCUUGAGCUCCCAUGUGGGACACCUCUAGAUACUGUCCAAAUAAAAGCUGUAGGUAGGACGUAGUAGUCGGGUCAAGAAGAAGCUGGAAGUGUCUCUAGUAGUUCGGUGAAGAAAUACAGAUAAUGUUAAGAUGAUAUAAGAAAAAGUGAACCGUUGUAAUAUAAGAUAAGUGAUGGUUUGUGAUACUUCAAUAUAGUUUAUUAAAACUG
Molecule: long non-coding RNA, 5552 nt
Organism: Aedes albopictus (Asian tiger mosquito)
Lineage: Eukaryota; Metazoa; Arthropoda; Insecta; Diptera; Culicidae
Exons: 2
Source: RefSeq, a predicted model, not a curated record